AUGAACGCUAGCGGCAGGCUUAACACAUGCAAGUCGAGGGGCAACACGGGUAGCAAUACCUGGUGGCGACCGGCGCAAGGGUGCGUAACGCGUGAGCAACAUGCCCUAUACAGGGGGAUAAUCCAGGGAAACUUGGUCUAAUAUCCCAUAGUAUUUAGAGGUGGCAUCACCACUAAAUUAAAGCUUCGGUGGUAUAGGAUUGGCUCGCGUGACAUUAGCUGGAUGGUGGGGUAACGGCGUCACCAUGGCGAUGAUGUCUAGGGGUUCUGAGAGGAAGACCCCCCACACUGGGACUGAGACACGGCCCAGACUCCUACGGGAGGCAGCAGUGAGGAAUAUUGGACAAUGGAUGGAAAUCUGAUCCAGCCAUGCCGCGUGCAGGAAGACGGCCCUAUGGGUUGUAAACUGCUUUUAUAUGGGAGCAAUAAGGUUUACGCGUAGACCGAUGAGAGUACCAUAUGAAUAAGCAUCGGCUAACUCCGUG
RNAcentral lists this ribosomal RNA (484 nucleotides) under uncultured bacterium. RNAcentral describes it as "bacterial SSU rRNA". It matches the Rfam family "Bacterial small subunit ribosomal RNA", at positions 29 to 507 of the family's 1533-position model. The record is from RNAcentral.